UGGGGAAUUUUGGACAAUGGGCGAAAGCCUGAUCCAGCAAUGCCGCGUGUGUGAAGAAGGCCUUCGGGUUGUAAAGCACUUUUGUCCGGAAAGAAAUCCUUGGCUCUAAUACAGUCGGGGGAUGACGGUACCGGAAGAAUAAGCACCGGCUAACUACGUGCCAGCAGCCGCGGUAAUACGUAGGGUGCAAGCGUUAAUCGGAAUUACUGGGCGUAAAGCGUGCGCAGGCGGUUUGCUAAGACCGAUGUGAAAUCCCCGGGCUCAACCUGGGAACUGCAUUGGUGACUGGCAGGCUAGAGUAUGGCAGAGGGGGGUAGAAUUCCACGUGUAGCAGUGAAAUGCGUAGAGAUGUGGAGGAAUACCGAUGGCGAAGGCAGCCCCCUGGGCCAAUACUGACGCUCAUGCACGAAAGCGUGGGGGGCAAACAGGAUUAGAUACCCUGGUAGUCCACGCCCUAAACGAUGUCAACUAGUUGUUGGGGAUUCAUUUCCUUAGUAACGUAGCUAACGCGUGAAG
RNAcentral lists this ribosomal RNA (516 nucleotides) under uncultured bacterium. RNAcentral describes it as "partial 16S ribosomal RNA". It matches the Rfam family "Bacterial small subunit ribosomal RNA", at positions 355 to 864 of the family's 1533-position model. The record is from RNAcentral.